UGGGGAAUAUUGGACAAUGGGCGAAAGCCUGAUCCAGCAAUGCCGCGUGAGUGAUGAAGGCCUUAGGGUUGUAAAGCUCUUUUACCCGGGAUGAUAAUGACAGUACCGGGAGAAUAAGCUCCGGCUAACUUCGUG
RNAcentral lists this ribosomal RNA (135 nucleotides) under uncultured bacterium. RNAcentral describes it as "partial 16S rRNA". It matches the Rfam family "Bacterial small subunit ribosomal RNA", at positions 355 to 507 of the family's 1533-position model. The record is from RNAcentral.